CAUAGGUUAAUGAGGCGAACCGGGGGAACUGAAACAUCUAAGUACCCCGAGGAAAAGAAAUCAACCGAGAUUCCCCCAGUAGCGGCGAGCGAACGGGGAGGAGCCCAGAGCCUGAAUCAGUGUGUGUGUUAGUGGAAGCGUCUGGAAAGGCGCGCGAUACAGGGUGACAGCCCCGUACACAAAAAUGCACAUACUGUGAGCUCGAUGAGUAGGGCGGGACACGUGGUAUCCUGUCUGAAUAUGGGGGGACCAUCCUCCAAGGCUAAAUACUCCUGACUGACCGAUAGUGAACCAGUACCGUGAGGGAAAGGCGAAAAGAACCCCGGCGAGGGGAGUGAAAAAGAACCUGAAACCGUGUACGUACAAGCAGUGGGAGCCUCUUUAUGGGGUGACUGCGUACCUUUUGUAUAAUGGGUCAGCGACUUAUAUUCUGUAGCAAGGUUAACCGAAUAGGGGAGCCGAAGGGAAACCGAGUCUUAACUGGGCGUUAAGUUGCAGGGUAUAGACCCGAAACCCGGUGAUCUAGCCAUGGGCAGGUUGAAGGUUGGGUAACACUAACUGGAGGACCGAACCGACUAAUGUUGAAAAAUUAGCGGAUGACUUGUGGCUGGGGGUGAAAGGCCAAUCAAACCGGGAGAUAGCUGGUUCUCCCCGAAAGCUAUUUAGGUAGCGCCUCGUGAAUUCAUCUCCGGGGGUAGAGCACUGUUUCGGCAAGGGGGUCAUCCCGACUUACCAACCCGAUGCAAACUGCGAAUACCGGAGAAUGUUAUCACGGGAGACACACGGCGGGUGCUAACGUCCGUCGUGAAGAGGGAAACAACCCAGACCGCCAGCUAAGGUCCCAAAGUCAUGGUUAAGUGGGAAACGAUGUGGGAAGGCCCAGACAGCCAGGAUGUUGGCUUAGAAGCAGCCAUCAUUUAAAGAAAGCGUAAUAGCUCACUGGUCGAGUCGGCCUGCGCGGAAGAUGUAACGGGGCUAAACCAUGCACCGAAGCUGCGGCAGCGACACUAUGUGUUGUUGGGUAGGGGAGCG
RNAcentral lists this ribosomal RNA (1032 nucleotides) under Escherichia coli. Its description in RNAcentral is "partial 23S ribosomal RNA". It matches the Rfam family "Bacterial large subunit ribosomal RNA", at positions 165 to 1238 of the family's 2925-position model. Lineage: Bacteria; Pseudomonadati; Pseudomonadota; Gammaproteobacteria; Enterobacterales; Enterobacteriaceae. The record is from RNAcentral.